Long non-coding RNA from Pecten maximus, 3304 nucleotides. RefSeq lists it as uncharacterized. The record is from RefSeq and is a predicted model, not a curated record. NCBI's taxonomy places the organism in Eukaryota, Metazoa, Mollusca, Bivalvia, Pectinida, Pectinidae. The transcript is spliced from 2 exons.
AUGUAAUGCUUGUAGGUAAUGUCUGAUGGUUUAUAAACUGUUACAUAAUAACGGACACUAGUACACUAAACCAGGUAUUUUGCCUGUUUUACCUGUAUAGUCUAACCAAAAUGAUCUGUCAGGAUUUGACCCCCUCCCUACCCAGUUACCAGACAUAUACAGACAAGUCAGCAUCCGUAACUGGGGAGCUUAGGUUUGUUUGUCUUUCUGUUUGCUGGGGUCACUCGCCCUGUGAACAGCCCCGGGUCAUUUUGAGGCAGGGUCUCCUUGUAGUAGUUGGUAACUACCUCACAGAACAACAUACAUGAAGCCCAUCUCAAGCAGUUUGGUUUAAGGGUCUAAACCAAAGACACAACCAUGACAGCACAGACUGCCCCGUUUCUCACCUUCUCGAGAAACACAAACCGACUUGGGAAGGAAGUGUCAAACCAAACUAUACAGGAAUGUUAGGGACUGUUAGUUUCGGUUACCAUGGUAACCAAGUCUCCAUACACAGGUUUUGUGUACUGGCUAGUUAAAAGCUCAUCAGUCCGAAGAUCAGUUAUAUUUAGUGAAUGCUUACCGUUCUGAUUGUGUAAUUGGUAUUCUACCAUAUUGUUUUGUUGUUGUUAUGAAGUGAAGACAAAAGCUGUGAUUUUGUGUUGUUACCUCACACUAUCAGGUUUAGUACAUAACCACUUUGAUUAUAACUAUAGCAAUGUAUGAAUUUUAUUGUUUUUUUAUUUGAUUUUUCUGGUGUACCAAUUUAUGGUAUUAAUGGUAUGUGUGCAUUAACUAUAAAAAUGUAAUGUGGCGUUUUUAAAUACCAGGGUAAAUUUAGGAUCAGUCCAAAAAUUUCCAGAAAUUUUGUAUAUAAAGGGGAACAAUAAGGGGAGACAAUUACAUCAGUAAGAAAUCCUUUCCAGGGGAGAUAAUUACAUCAGUAAAAAUUCCUUUCCAGGGGAGAUAAUUACAUCAGUAAAAAUUCCUUUCCAUGGGAGACAAUCAAAUUUGUAAGAAUUCCUUUCCAUGGGAGACAAUCAAAUUUGUAAGAAUUCCUUUCCAUGGGAGACAAUCAUAUCGGUAAGAAUUCCUUUUCAGGGGAAUUAAUUAUAAAAGUAAUAUUCUUCCUGGGAAGAAGUUAAAAAUCAUUCCUAAUGCACAGGUGUCUGCUUCUGGUUAGUAUUGAUAGAAAAAUAUAUUAGGCCCUAACCCUACUAUAUCAACAAGGUGUAACACUCGAAGAUCUACGAUGCAUCGACUGUGGAACGGAAGUAGACCUGAUUGGUCGACAGCUCUAUAAACAAUACUAACUAUAAUUGUCGACCAAUCAUAUCUACUUUCAUUCCACAGUCGAUGUAUCCUAGAUCUUUCAAGUGUUACACCUUGUUGAUUUAGUAUGAGUAGGGGCUAAUAUUUGUAUUCUAUUAAUACUAUGCCUGUGCCUAAUGGUACAAUUAGUGUAUGAUGGUAGAAAAUUGAGUACAGGUCAUUGCACAAAGUAGUUUUAUUGCAUGUGAAAACAAAAUACUCAUUGCAUGCAUUGUUUGCAUUUAUUUAAUUGUUUUGCUAUAUAUCAUGUUUAUUAUUUUUUAAAUAAGUUUAAAUUGUAUAAUAAAAAUGCUUAACCCUUGUUUAUAGUAUUUGUAUGACAACCUAUGAUUCAUGUAGCACAAUGAAUGAGAUGGAUUGACAUUUUAAUAGUUUGUAAUUAGAUUGUGUUGCACACAUUCCCUUAUCUAGGGCUACAAUAUACAUCCAACCAUAAUCCCUGUUUCCUCGGACUCUCUACUGCUAUUGAUGGAAAACUGGAAAAACUUGGCAAUGAGGAGAGCUAGUCCAUCAACUGCAGCAGAGGCUGAAAGUAAAUUGUGUUUAGGUAGGAUGUUUCCGACUUGUCUCAGCAGAGUAUGAAUCAUAGCUCUACGCAUAUCAAUGUACAGUGUGACCCUAAAAUGUUUGACUCAAAUUGUUUUUUUUCUUUCUGUCAGUUCAUCUUUUAUUUAAAAUGUUAAUACACUGAUAAUUAUAAUAUUAGAUGAUACAUUUAAUCACAAACACUGGAUGAAGGUUGCACACUUUAAAUAAAGUGGAUUCUCUCUAAACCUGGCACAGGCCUUGGGGACUAAACAAUUUGGUCAGGUUAGGAGAAGUCCAGAAAAAUCAAGAGCUGGAUUUUUUAUAAGUGAAGAAUAAUUUUAUCUGGACUUACUUAUUAGGUCAGAAUGGAGUUGAUUCUGAAGUAGAGAAAUGUCAAUUUAGAGAGAUUUCACUGUACUAUGUAAUUAUGUGAUUGAUCAUAAUAUACACUGUAUCUGCAAUAAGUUAAAUUAUUUCCAAAAAAAACCCAAUAUACUGUUGUUAUAAUUUAAUCUAUAAUUAAAUAUCCAGUUUGUAUGUGUUUUAUAGGUAUGUAAAUGGGAAAUGUGAUGUUUUCUAAAACCAAUAAAAAUUAUUCUUUAAUAUUUAUAAAAAAGUUGCACUUAAAUAAUUUUUUUGAUUUUGGGACAUUGUGUACAACCACCUUCUUGAAUUUUUCCUUUGAGCUGAUUGCACAUGUUCAAAUCCAAAGCCUAAGAAAACAUUACAUUAUUUUACAUCUCUAGACUUUUUGACUUAUUAGAAUUUCAUUAGUAUUUCAAAAUUAUAUGAAAACAAGUUUUAAUAUCAAAAUUUAGAAUCUAAAAGCAGCCUUGUCUGAAGGCAAUCAUAAGUGAAAAUUAAGAUGAGCAAGUUAGGUCCAUUUGACCUCUUGUUUCACAGUGGAACAUUUGUCAUUCUACAAUUAAUUUUGUUCUUGCCAUAUUUUUCAGUGCAAAUUGGUGCACACAAUAAUGUAUUAAAUUUUAACUUGUUAAGUUUUAUGUUUGGUGAUUGUGAAAUUUAAAUGUACAUUAUACAGCUGUAUGACUUCUACUGUACACAUUUCAUAAUUUUAAGUUGUUCUGACAAUUUCAGAAUUUCCUUCAUCAAGGUAUAUAACAACUAUCAUGAUUUUUCUUAGAAAAUGCCUGAAAUAGGUAACACAUGCAUUUUGAAAAUGCAGUUAUGUAUGGUAUCCAAAUUAAAUGUCAAAGUUGAGAAAUCCUGAAAUGGUUUAGAAACCCAUGCAUCCUCCCUCCCCCAUAUUAGAAUAUGGAUCAGUCACUGGUAUAAAUAUUAUAUGGAAUGGUACUGUUCACUACCUAGUGAAGGGGAGGCAAGGACUGGAUAUCAUUAACUGUCUAUUAUCUCCAUAGUUAUAUAGUAUUUUUUGAAAAUAAAUGUUGUUAUAUUUGUUAAAACGCUUGUAUUUGUUGCUCAAAUUAAUAUAAUAUUGAUAUUA